RNAcentral lists this transfer RNA (67 nucleotides) under Triticum aestivum (bread wheat). It matches the Rfam family "tRNA". From Rfam's summary of the family: Transfer RNA (tRNA) molecules are approximately 80 nucleotides in length. Their secondary structure includes four short double-helical elements and three loops (D, anti-codon, and T loops). The record is from Rfam by way of RNAcentral. Lineage: Eukaryota; Viridiplantae; Streptophyta; Magnoliopsida; Poales; Poaceae. RNAcentral also lists the same sequence under 1 other name.
CCACUGCUUAGUUGGUAAAGCACAAGACUCUUAACCUUGUGGACAUGGGUUCAAGCCCCAUGGUGGG